Gadus macrocephalus (Pacific cod) is the source of this 295-nucleotide long non-coding RNA. RefSeq lists it as uncharacterized. Lineage: Eukaryota; Metazoa; Chordata; Actinopteri; Gadiformes; Gadidae. The transcript is spliced from 2 exons. The record is from RefSeq and is a predicted model, not a curated record.
GCCCUGAAUUUAUGUUUAUUAACAGCUCCUCCACCGGGGUCAAGACAAUUUGAGGGCCAGAUCCAGUCUGCCGACUGUCGGCCUUUUCACGAUUGGCUUAAAAAAAUGGCUUAUUUAAAUGUAUACCAAUACGAUGGUGGGAAAAGCUUACCCGUUUGUAUGUUUUUUAUACUUCGUUUUUAUACUUGAUCCGCUGACCGCUUGGAAGCAAUCGGAGUACAUCUUUUUUUAGAAGAAAGGGGUUAUGUGGUAGGAUCUUUAAGAAUGCUUAACUGGGAUAUUUAUAUAUUCAUGG